Non-coding RNA from Oryctolagus cuniculus (rabbit), 2707 nucleotides. The record is from RefSeq and is a predicted model, not a curated record. Lineage: Eukaryota; Metazoa; Chordata; Mammalia; Lagomorpha; Leporidae.
AGGCUGAGCACCGAUCCCUGCAGCUCCUCUGGGGCCUGGCUGGAGGGCUCAGCCUUGGGAGGGGGCCAUAGAAGGAUGAGGCCCAGCUUGGGAGACCCUGGGGGCGAGAGCGGGGUCGGGGUCGGCAGAGGGGGGCCGGGCUCCAGUGUGGGAGGGAGGGCGGAAGGCGCCCGUGCCUGCGGCCGGCCGGGCUGGGUAGGGACAGCAGGCGGGCUCCUGCGGGAGCUCCCUGGGCUCCAACGUCUCCGCAGCAGAGCUUGGCAGCGCUUGCGGGCAGGCCUGACAAGGCGAUUCCCGAAAACGACCGAGUGGCCUUGUCCCACGGGAAAGCGUGGAGCCUCCUCUCCCCACGCCCCCUCCUGGCACUGUCUUCGCGGUUUGUGCCGCGGGAUUGGGUUUCUCCCUGGGGCUCCUGUAAUGGGAGUUUGAAAUCUUGCCAUGUCUGCAAUAAUCUUUUUUAAAAUUUAAAUGUUUAUUUAUUCAUAUAUUUUCAUCUGCUUGAAAGGCAGAGCAAGAGAGAGAGAGAGAGCGAGCGCGAGCUUCCACUGGUUCACUCCCCAAAUGCCUACAACAGCCAGCUAGGGCCGGGUUGAACUCAGGAGCCUGGAACUCCAUCCGGGUCUCCCACGUGGGUGCAGGGGCCCAAGCACUUGGCCCAUCUUCUGCUGCUUUCCCAGGCACAUUGGCAGGGAGCCGGUUUGGAAGUGGAGCAGCCGGGACACGAACAGGCGCUCAGAUAUGGGCCAUGGGCAUCCUACGCGGUGGCUUAACUGGCUGGGCCUCAGCGGCCCAGAAGCUUCCAAGGUCAACGGAGGUCUCUGGAUCCGGGCGCUUGACCUGUGGUUCGUGGCAGGAAACCUGGCGCCUCAGCUUGACUGGUUAAGUCCUGGGGGCGCCCCCUGCAGGCUGUGCCUUGGCCUGGACGACAGUAGGUGACCAGGCUGAGGUCCUACACUUGACGCCCGCCCGGGGCCCCUCCUCCUGUGGAUUCCUGCCUGCCGGGGCUGCAGCCAGCCAGAGCUGGGCUGAUUCUUUUCUGAUUACACAGAUAAAGCAAACAUCUCUCCAAUUUGUCAACAAGAAUAGGAAGAAAAAAAGCACAGACUACCAGUUUCAACACUUUAUAUCCGUAAAAAUCCCAUCGUCAUCUUCCUUAUGUCGCAACUUUGCAAAAUGUUUUAUACGAACUACUUCCUCCUUUUGAGGAUCAUGACAGCCAUGACUAAUCCGCUGAUUUAUUGAAUUGAAAUAUAAUUACAAUUAAUCAUGUUUAUGCUGCUAUCUCAGCUCUGCUAGUGUUGGGUGGGGGGUGGUUCUGGCCUGCUCUGUUGUCUUUCCCAUGCUCCCUUAAUGUUGUUGAGAGUGACCUUCCUUCCUGGCUGCCACAGGACAUUCUGGAACAUUCUAACUUGGUUUUUAUGGGCCCAAGGAUCCUAGUUCCCUUUGGUGGAGACGUGCCACCGCCUGGGAUGCCAGCAUCCUGUGGGAGUCCUGGCUGUUCCACUUCUGAUCCAGCUCCCUGCCAACGCACCCAGGAAGACAGCUCAAAAUGGAGUUCCAGGCUCCUGGCUCCGGGCCAGCCACAGCCGAUGCACGAAGACCUCAGCUCACCUGGUGAAACCAGACUGUCUACAGAUGGUCCGUGACUCACACCUCAAGAUGGCUCGGGUUCCGCUUUAUCAGUGUCUCACGGCUGCAAAAGAGGCUGGAGCUGUGGGUUCCAUCUCCGUGAUGCUGGGCAGCCUCACCGCCAAGAGGAGGAGACGCCCAAGGCUCCGCAGUGCCCGGUGCUGGUGAGCCGGGGCGCGCUGUUCAAGGCGUUCUCAAUGCGUGCUGUCUUCAACUUCCGAAAUGAGCUUCUAGGGACAGAAGCCGUGGCGAGUCCCAGCGUCUGUGCUGAAGGAAGGCAGCACACCCGGAAGUCGGAGGCACCUGCGCCCCGGACCUCUGCAGAAGACCCAGCACUCACGCUCACAGGGCCACGCCGGCCGCAGGUUCUUCUCUGAGCCGGUAACUGACCGCAGGAGAAGGUCAGUUCAUGUGCUCCAACUGGCUCACAGGCCCGAGCCAGAGCUGGCGCAGGUCAACCCAGCCACGUCCAGGAGGACACGCUGUGAGCAGCGCCUCAGAGAGGUGUGCCCUAGGAGCACACAUCGGGUGCCAGGAAAGCAUGGCACUGGGACACAGCGGGAGCAGUGAUCACAUGGGAGGAAGGCGGAGGAGAAGGUGGCCCAGGCCCAGGGACACCUGCAGGCGUCUCGGUGCACCUGCCCUGACGCUGGACAGACGAUGCUCCAGGGCUGCCACUGAGGCGUAGCAGGUGAGGACCCCAUGUGGGCUCUGGUUCAAGUCCCUGCCGCUCUGCUUCUGAUCCAGCUCCCUGCUGACGCACCUGGGAAGGCAGCAGAAGACGGUCCAAGUGCUUGGGCCCCUGCACCCAUGCGAGAGACCAGGAUGGAGUUCCUAGCUCCUGGCUUCGGCCAGGCCCAGCCCUGGCGAUUGUGGCCAUUUAGGGAGCAAAUCAGUGGAUGGAAGAUCUCUGUCUCUCUCUCCACUUCUGUGUGUGUGUGUGUGUGUGUGUGUCUCCCACUCUCUCUGAUGCUCUGCCUUUCAAAUAAAUAUUUAAAAACAAAACAAAACAAAACAAAAUACCAUGAACCGGGUGACUUGUAAACAACAGAAAUUUACUGCUCACAAUUCUGGAGGC